RNAcentral lists this ribosomal RNA (497 nucleotides) under uncultured bacterium. RNAcentral describes it as "partial 16S ribosomal RNA". It matches the Rfam family "Bacterial small subunit ribosomal RNA", at positions 28 to 507 of the family's 1533-position model. The record is from RNAcentral.
GAUGAACGCUGGCGGCGUGCCUAAUACAUGCAAGUCGAGCGAACAGACGAGGAGCUUGCUCCUCUGACGUUAGCGGCGGACGGGUGAGUAACACGUGGAUAACCUACCUAUAAGACUGGGAUAACUUCGGGAAACCGGAGCUAAUACCGGAUAAUAUAUUGAACCGCAUGGUUCAAUAGUGAAAGACGGUUUUGCUGUCACUUAUAGAUGGAUCCGCGCCGCAUUAGCUAGUUGGUAAGGUAACAGCUUACCAAGGCAACGAUGCGUAGCCGACCUGAGAGGGGGAUCGGCAACAAUGGAACUGAGAAACGGACAAGACGCCGACGGGAGGCAGCAGUAGGGAAUAUUCCGCAAUGGGCGAAAGCAUGACGGAGAAACGCCGCGUGAGUGAUGAAGGUCUUCGGAUCGUAAAACUCUGUUAUGAGGGAAGAACAAAUGUGUAAGUAACUAUGCACGUCUUGACGGUACCUAAUCAGAAAGCAACGGCUAACUACGUG